UACCUGCAGCUCGAGUGGUAACCGCUAUUAUUGGGCCUAAAGCGUCCGUAGCCGGUUUGGUAAAUAUCUGGGUAAAUCGUGAGGCUUAACUUCACGAAUUUCGGGUAGACUGCCAGACUUGGGAUCGGGGGAGGUCAGAGGUACUCCAGGGGUAGCGGUGAAAUGUUGUAAUCCUUGGAGGACCACCGGUAGCGAAGGCGUCUGACUAGAACGAGUCCGACGGUGAGGGACGAAGCCCUGGGGCGCAAACCGGAUUAGAUACCCGGGUAGUCCAGGGUGUAAACAAUGUGGGCUUUGUAUUGGAGAUCCCACGUGGGUGUCCAGUGCAGAAGAGAAGUUGUUAAAGCCCACCGCCUGGGAAGUACGGUCGCAAGGCUGAAACUUAAGGAAUUGGCGGGGAGCACAGCAACGGGAGGAGCGUGCGGUUU
This 428-nucleotide ribosomal RNA is filed under the name uncultured archaeon. RNAcentral's name for it is "bacterial SSU rRNA". It matches the Rfam family "Archaeal small subunit ribosomal RNA", at positions 474 to 903 of the family's 1478-position model. The record is from RNAcentral.